This 238-nucleotide unclassified non-coding RNA is filed under the name uncultured Clavulina. RNAcentral describes it as "sequence contains ITS2". Lineage: Eukaryota; Fungi; Basidiomycota; Agaricomycetes; Cantharellales; Hydnaceae. The record is from RNAcentral.
AAUUGUCAGGCUGUGAUACUUUGUCUUCACGGAAAAGUCAUCUCAGUUUGGUGUUGGGCUCUGCCGUGUUCUUUAUUGGAACGGCUGGCCUUAAAAGCAUUAGCUGACCUUAAUGAGUGUUGGUUCUACUCAGUGUGAUAAUUAUCUGACCGCUGAGGACAUCCUCCGGGGUGGCCAAUUCUCUUUUGGGUUGCUCCGAAUUUGGUUUUACGGACUUGCGAGUCUGUUCCACUUCUAA